Molecule: ribosomal RNA, 407 nt
Filed under: uncultured bacterium
Lineage: Bacteria
Description: partial 16S ribosomal RNA
Rfam family: Bacterial small subunit ribosomal RNA
Source: RNAcentral
GACGAACGCUGGCGGCGUGCUUAACACAUGCAAGUCGAAGAUAGUGGCGAACGGGGGAGUAAUACGUAGGAACAUGCCCUCCUUUUUGGGAUAAGCCGUGGAAAAGGGGUCUAAUACCGAAUUGUAGGGGGUUGGGCUAGCGCCUAUAAGCUUGUUGGUGGGGUAAGGGCCUCCCAGGGCGACGAUCCGUAACUGGUCUGGGAGGAUGAUCAGCCACACGGGAACUGAGACACGGUCCAGACUCCUACGGGAGGCAGCAGUGGGGAAUAUUGGACAAUGGGCGAAAGCCUGAUCCAGCCAUGCCGCGUGUAUGAAGAAGGUCUUCGGAUUGUAAAGCACUUUAAGUGGGGAGGCGUUACCAACAGAAUAAGCACCGGCUAACUACGUGCCAGCAGCCGCGGUAAUUC